Molecule: ribosomal RNA, 447 nt
Filed under: uncultured bacterium
Lineage: Bacteria
Description: bacterial SSU rRNA
Rfam family: Bacterial small subunit ribosomal RNA
Source: RNAcentral
GCCAGACUCCUACGGGAGGCAGCAGUGGGGGAUAUUGCACAAUGGGGGAAACCCUGAUGCAGCGACGCCGCGUGAGUGAAGAAGUAUUUCGGUAUGUAAAGCUCUAUCAGCAGGGACGAAGAAAGACGGUACCUGAGUAAGAAGCCCCGGCUAACUACGUGCCAGCAGCCGCGGUAAUACGUAGGGGGCAAGCGUUAUCCGGAUUUACUGGGUGUAAAGGGAGCGUAGACGGUAUGGCAAGUCUGAAGUGAAAGCCCCGGGCUCAACCUGGGAACUGCUUUGGAAACUGUUAAACUAGAGUGCUGGAGAGGCAGGCGGAAUUCCCAGUGUAGCGGUGAAAUGCGUAGAUAUUAGGAGGAACACCAGUGGCGAGGGCGGCCUGCUGGACAGUAACUGACGUUGAGGCUCGAAAGCGUGGGGAGCAAACAGGAUUAGAUACCCUAGUAU